AGAGUGAAAGAGAUAAAGGGGGAUAUUUAUACGCUGACAGAUAGAAACUAGACUUUUGGUGGUGAACACGAUGUAGUCUAUACAGAAUUCGAAAUAUAGUAAUGAUGUACACUUGGAAUAUAUACAAUGUUAUAAACCAAUGUUACCUCAAUAAAAAAAAAAAAUUACAGGCAGGC
Molecule: non-coding RNA, 176 nt
Organism: Ceratotherium simum simum (southern white rhinoceros)
Lineage: Eukaryota; Metazoa; Chordata; Mammalia; Perissodactyla; Rhinocerotidae
Source: RefSeq, a predicted model, not a curated record